AAUUAAAUAAUUGAAUUAAUUUUGUGCAAGGAUUAAAAUAUGAAUGCAUAUACACUCGUUAGACGAGCUGUUAUUUUUUAUUUUUUUGAUACAUCGGUUUGAUAACAGACCGAAAUUACGAUAUCAUUAUUUUCAAGUAAUCAAUUCUCGACAAGACAUUGUCUCCGAAGAUGUUAGCUCUUUUCGGGAUUAUUUAUUCUUGAACAUUUUUAGACAAGCACUUGUGUAACAAAAUUUUACAUUUCUGUUUUUU
Molecule: non-coding RNA, 253 nt
Organism: Cinara cedri
Lineage: Eukaryota; Metazoa; Arthropoda; Insecta; Hemiptera; Aphididae
Source: the annotation of a GenBank genome assembly